AGAGUUUGAUCAUGGCUCAGAUUGAACGCUGGCGGCAGGCUUAACACAUGCAAGUCGAGCGGUAACAGGGGAAGCUUGCUUCCCGCUGACGAGCGGCGGACGGGUGAGUAAUGCUUAGGAAUCUGCCCAGUAGUGGGGGAUAGCCCGGGGAAACCCGGAUUAAUACCGCAUACGUCCUACGGGAGAAAGCAGGGGAUCUUCGGACCUUGCGCUAUUGGAUGAGCCUAAGUCGGAUUAGCUAGUUGGUGGGGUAAAGGCCUACCAAGGCGACGAUCCGUAGCUGGUCUGAGAGGAUGAUCAGCCACAUCGGGACUGAGACACGGCCCGAACUCCUACGGAAGGCAGCAGUGGGGAAUAUUGGACAAUGGGGGCAACCCUGAUCCAGCCAUGCCGCGUGUGUGAAGAAGGCUUUCGGGUUGUAAAGCACUUUCAGUAGGGAGGAAAACCUUAUGGUUAAUACCCAUGAGGCUUGACGUUACCUACAGAAGAAGCACCGGCUAACUCCGUGCCAGCAGCCGCGGUAAUACGGAGGGUGCAAGCGUUAAUCGGAAUUACUGGGCGUAAAGCGCGCGUAGGUGGUUUGGUAAGCGAGAUGUGAAAGCCCCGGGCUUAACCUGGGAACGGCAUUUCGAACUGUCAGACUAGAGUGUGGUAGAGGGUAGUGGAAUUUCCUGUGUAGCGGUGAAAUGCGUAGAUAUAGGAAGGAACACCAGUGGCGAAGGCGGCUACCUGGACCAACACUGACACUGAGGU
Molecule: ribosomal RNA, 753 nt
Filed under: uncultured bacterium
Lineage: Bacteria
Description: bacterial SSU rRNA
Rfam family: Bacterial small subunit ribosomal RNA
Source: RNAcentral